CCACGACUGCGGAGACAGCGACGAGCCUGAGGCCCGGGCGAGGAGGGGCGGGGCCAGGGUACCUGAGGAGGGGCCUGGAAGGGAGUCAGGGCUCAGCCCUCAAAAAGGAGGUGGCAUCCUAAGGAGGGGCACAGGUGAGCUCUGAGAAGAGAGGCGGGGCCUGGGGAGCCACGGGUGUGAGGACCAGGGGUGAAGCCUGACGCUGACGUCGAGGCCACAGGGAUCAGGAAAGAAGGGCGGAAAUUGCGGUUUAGCCGCCCCUUCCCUCACAUGGAAGACAGACUCUCCUGGGGGGAGGUCCCCCGACACCGGAAGCUGCAGUCCUCCAGGUCUGGCUCUUGGAAGAAGGGAAGACUGGGAUCAGCGGGGAGGAGUGCUCGCUGCCUCAGGGUCAGUGCCCCCGAGGCUGAAGGCACCACUGGCUUCUUUCAGAUCCGCCACCCAAUUCCUUUCCUGGGAUCUUCAGAGUUAUAGAAAUUUAAGGUCAAGACAGACCUGGAUUAAACUUAAACCUGACACCAA
Sapajus apella (tufted capuchin) is the source of this 522-nucleotide long non-coding RNA. RefSeq lists it as uncharacterized. The transcript has 3 exons. The record is from RefSeq and is a predicted model, not a curated record. NCBI's taxonomy places the organism in Eukaryota, Metazoa, Chordata, Mammalia, Primates, Cebidae.